This 253-nucleotide ribosomal RNA is filed under the name uncultured bacterium. RNAcentral's name for it is "partial 16S ribosomal RNA". It matches the Rfam family "Bacterial small subunit ribosomal RNA", at positions 524 to 776 of the family's 1533-position model. The record is from RNAcentral.
UACGUAGGGUGCAAGCGUUAAUCGGAAUUACUGGGCGUAAAGCGUGCGCAGGCGGCUUUGCAAGUCAGAUGUGAAAUCCCCGGGCUCAACCUGGGAACUGCAUUUGUGACUGCAAGGCUGGAGUACGGCAGAGGGGGAUGGAAUUCCGCGUGUAGCAGUGAAAUGCGUAGAUAUGCGGAGGAACACCGAUGGCGAAGGCAAUCCCCUGGGCCUGUACUGACGCUCAUGCACGAAAGCGUGGGGAGCAAACAGG